Long non-coding RNA from Dalotia coriaria, 677 nucleotides. RefSeq lists it as uncharacterized. Lineage: Eukaryota; Metazoa; Arthropoda; Insecta; Coleoptera; Staphylinidae. The transcript has 2 exons. The record is from RefSeq and is a predicted model, not a curated record.
UGACAGUUUGUUACAUAAGUUUUAGGUUAAGUCCGAGAACCAUGCACUAAUUCGAGUAAUUUUCACAUUACGUAGGAGUAUAAUUACGCCAUUUCCUUUUCGACUUGAAUUUGAGAAUUUGUGAAUAAUUCGCGCCGAUGAUGAAAAAUAGGAAGCCUUAGUCUGCGACGGAAAUUAAUGUCAACGAUAUGUGUGUGAUAGGAAGCAGAAGCAAGUCGUAACCAGCAAAGGAAGGAAGAAACUAUCAAAUUAAUGCUUUGUUUGCUCAGAUACAUAUUCAACUAGACAUUGUUUGGUUUUGUCACAGAUUAAACCGAAAAAAUAAAAAUGUCUCCGCAGCGGACGUUGAUGUGGUAGAAGGGUUUACGAAGAGAGUAUCCACGAAGGUAUCGGAAUGUUUGGACGCGGGCGCGUCUUUUUGUGCAUGUGCGCGCUGUGGGAACAGAAACCAAGGGAUACAGCGACACGACGAAGACGACAAUGAAUGAAACCGAAUAUUUUCGCUGCCAAAAGGUAUUUUAAUUUCGAGUAGAAAAUCCGAGCGACCUAAAACAAAAAGACCGGGUAUGGGUGGGACAGCGAGUUAAUAUUUACGACUGAGAAUAUUUUCUUUCCACUGCAGCGGACGACAACUAGACUCCGACGAAUGGUCAUAAUAAAAAUAAUACAGGUUUUUA